UACAUUAAGAUAUUUUGUGAUGUUUUCUUUAAUCAAUGUAUAUCUUCUCAGUGAAAAACUCUUGAACCUGCUUUGAGAUGAUUGCAUGACUUGGUAACUUGUUUGCCUAAGCGACUUCAGAGAUGGACUCUUGAGCCUGCUUUGACGACUUCAGAGAUAAACUCUUGAGCCUGCUUUGACGACUUCAUAGUCUGCUUUGCUUGAAUUGUCGAAACUUGAUUGUGAUCAAUGCCACUUGGUUACACAACAAACAGUGUGGCGUAGGGAGAGAUGCGAAUGGCCACUCACCCCUCCCCGAUGCACACACUUUAGAGGAUAAAAGGAGGGGAGCGAUGCUCCUCAGUAGAGUCUGCUGUGGGUAGCGUACGGACGCCCAGCGAGUAUCGAAGCUCACUCUGCUGAGGAUGUUGGCUCUCCAUCCUACAGGCAUACGCUUGGAGAAUUAAUGCCUUGGUGGGAGUUGCUGAUCGGGAGACCUGCUAAAACCGGAAGAGACCAUGGACCUCAUUGGGCGCCGCGACACUGGAGGUGUCGUCUGCUGGGUCAUCUGCCUCCUUGCCGUUGGUGCCAUGGUUCAGCCCUCCUGGGGGAUGACAGAGGGCCAAACAUGCAGGAAGGGACCCAUCUUCAAGAUAGAACGA
Hippocampus zosterae (dwarf seahorse) is the source of this 641-nucleotide long non-coding RNA. RefSeq lists it as uncharacterized. NCBI's taxonomy places the organism in Eukaryota, Metazoa, Chordata, Actinopteri, Syngnathiformes, Syngnathidae. The transcript is spliced from 2 exons. The record is from RefSeq and is a predicted model, not a curated record.